GGGGCUUUGGUGAAACUGGCAUCACGCUGCCGUCGCAUGGCAGAGUUUCGGGUUCAAUUCCCGAUCGCUCCA
Molecule: transfer RNA, 72 nt
Filed under: Pirellulaceae bacterium
Lineage: Bacteria; Pseudomonadati; Planctomycetota; Planctomycetia; Pirellulales; Pirellulaceae
Description: tRNA-Ala
Rfam family: tRNA
About the family: Transfer RNA (tRNA) molecules are approximately 80 nucleotides in length. Their secondary structure includes four short double-helical elements and three loops (D, anti-codon, and T loops).
Source: RNAcentral